CCUAUCAUUUUCUCAACCACACAGCUCUCCCACUCCCACUCGUCCAUUCCGUACCCCGCGCCGCCGGCGCUCGCAACCCCAUCGCCGCCCCGUUCCUCGUCUGGGCGCCGCCGCCGGUCCUCCCACCGCCUCGUGCCUCCCCAACCUCCCUACCACCUCUGCCUCCCUGCCCGUCGCCGCCUCCCCGCCCUCGUCGGUGCGAGGAGCCUGUCGUCCCCUACAUCUACUAGGUUGGUGGCUGGACUCAAGGGUACAAGAGACUCAUGCUUGUCUGAUGAACUGUGGUAAAUGAAACCAUUGAUAUGCAGAACAGAGGCUGCUAUUGAGGCUGUGAUAACACAUCCUGCAAGGCCUCCCCUGAAAUUAGGAAGGAAACGAUCACUGCAUGGUUAACUGUACUUCAGUGUGCCUGUAUGACAUUUAGCAUAAUGUGUUUGUAUGAUAUUUACCAUUACAGUGUGUAACUGUACCAUUACAUUUAGCAAUCAUGCCUGCAGCAGCAGCAUGAUUGCUCGAUAUUGUAUAAAGCAUGUUUGCUGGAUGCUGGAUUAUCUGCAGUGUGUAAUUGUAUGAUAUUUACCAUUACAGUUUGCAGCAGCA
This is a long non-coding RNA of Panicum virgatum (switchgrass), 600 nucleotides long. RefSeq lists it as uncharacterized. The record is from RefSeq and is a predicted model, not a curated record. Lineage: Eukaryota; Viridiplantae; Streptophyta; Magnoliopsida; Poales; Poaceae. The transcript has 2 exons.